CCAAUAGCGUAUAUUAAAGUUGUUGCAGUUAAAAAGCUCGUAGUUGAAUUUCGGGAUCAAUAUGUUGGUCGUGCCUUGGUACGUACUAGCUUAUUGAUUUCUUCCUUCUGACGAACCAUGAUGUCAUUAAUUUGGUGUCUUGGGGAAUCAGGACUGUUACUUUGAAAAAAUUAGAGUGUUUAAAGCAGGCUCACGCUUGAAUACAUUAGCAUGGAAUAAUGAAAUAGGACGUUUGAUUCUAUUUUGUUGGUUUCUAGGAUCGACGUAAUGAUUAAUAGGGAUAGUUGGGGGCAUUAGUAUUCAAUUGUCAGAGGUGAAAUUCUUGGAUUUAUUGAAGACUAACUACUGCGAAAGCAUUUGCCAAGGAUGUUUUCAUUAAUCAAGAACGAAAGUUAGGGGAUCGAAGACGAUCAGAUACCGUCGUAGUCUUAACCAUAAACUAUGCCGACUAGGGAUCGGAUGAUGUUAAUUUUUUAAUGACUCAUUCGGCGCCUUACG
RNAcentral lists this unclassified non-coding RNA (498 nucleotides) under uncultured Glomus. Its description in RNAcentral is "SSU rRNA". It matches the Rfam family "Eukaryotic small subunit ribosomal RNA", at positions 591 to 1092 of the family's 1831-position model. The record is from RNAcentral. Lineage: Eukaryota; Fungi; Glomeromycota; Glomeromycetes; Glomerales; Glomeraceae.